This 766-nucleotide long non-coding RNA is filed under the name Mytilus galloprovincialis (Mediterranean mussel). The record is from RNAcentral. Lineage: Eukaryota; Metazoa; Mollusca; Bivalvia; Mytilida; Mytilidae.
AAAUUGUACAAUAGGUAUUGUGAGAGCUAUUAUCAACAGGUGGUCAUUUAACUACCUGUAGAUUUACCUGGUUUGUUUUUAACAGAGCUAAUUUAAAUGAAUGAUAGCUAGCUUGCUUUCCUCAUGUCCAAUGUCCUGAAUGGACUAUUCUAUUUAGGUAUGGGACAUUUUACAUUUGAUACACUAUUUGUUCUUUCUAACAAAGAUAAUUAUUGUAAAUUUUUUUUUUGCUAACAAUCACAAAUAAAUCAUUGCUGGUAAAUCCCACUUUCAUAAUGAAGAAUAAGUACUUGAAAUUUCUAUUCACUAAGCCAUUUGUACUUUUUUUGAUAUAUUGAAAAUAAAUUUUUCACAGUAAUUCCGAUUGAAGAAGAUCCUGAAUAUUAAAUGAAACUUAGCAUCACUACUAUUCCAUUUCAGGAAUCGUAAUAUAACAUGAAAAUAUAUCCCAUUAUAAAACACCAAGCCACACAUAAUUCAUCUUGUAGAAUUAUUCACAAUUAGAUGGGCUAUCCAAAAAAAUCCAUUUCACAAACACUUUAAUUCCAUAUCAGGAAUCAGAAACUUAAAAUAUAUCCCACAUUAAAACACCAUGAAGCAAACAUAUAUCUCCUUUUUUUUAUAAACUAAAUUCACUAUCAAUUGAAUUUCCAUCUUCACUGUAAAGAGACACAAAAAGAAAUGGCUUAAAAUGUCCCAUCUCUAAAUAGAAUAGUCUAUUCAGGACAUUGGUCAUGAUACAUGAGGAAAGCAAGCUAUCUAUCAG